Molecule: non-coding RNA, 46 nt
Organism: Ixodes scapularis (black-legged tick)
Lineage: Eukaryota; Metazoa; Arthropoda; Arachnida; Ixodida; Ixodidae
Source: Rfam
CAAACGGCUCUUUUCAGAGCCACAUCCCACUUGCACUUUGGAGCGG